GCCUCUGUAGCUCAGUGGCAGAGCGCCACCUUGGUAAGGUGGAGGUCGCGAGUUCAAUCCUCGCCAGAGGCU
Molecule: transfer RNA, 72 nt
Filed under: Candidatus Woesearchaeota archaeon
Lineage: Archaea; Nanobdellati; Candidatus Woesearchaeota
Description: tRNA-Thr
Rfam family: tRNA
About the family: Transfer RNA (tRNA) molecules are approximately 80 nucleotides in length. Their secondary structure includes four short double-helical elements and three loops (D, anti-codon, and T loops). Further hydrogen bonds mediate the characteristic L-shaped molecular structure. tRNAs have two regions of fundamental functional importance: the anti-codon, which is responsible for specific mRNA codon recognition, and the 3' end, to which the tRNAs corresponding amino acid is attached (by aminoacyl-tRNA synthetases). tRNAs cope with the degeneracy of the genetic code in two manners: having more than one tRNA (with a specific anti-codon) for a particular amino acid; and 'wobble' base-pairing, i.e. permitting non-standard base-pairing at the 3rd anti-codon position.
Source: RNAcentral